This 866-nucleotide long non-coding RNA is filed under the name Homo sapiens (human). Its description in RNAcentral is "HSALNT0400258". The record is from RNAcentral. Lineage: Eukaryota; Metazoa; Chordata; Mammalia; Primates; Hominidae.
GUACCCCGGUGCUGUGGGCAGCACAGACAUCUGCCUGCAUAACCCAGCUCAUCCUGACUGAUGCCACCAUUUCAAGAGAAGAGAAAUGAGACUGAGAAAGAUUAAGAUAUUUUCUUAAGAUUGGACACUGUGUUCCUACCCGUUGUGCUUGCCUUAUAGUCGAAAGAGAAUUUAUUUAAGCACAGAGAUCAAGCAAAAGUGGAGCACAGGACACACUUUCAAGUUGCCUUGGGGACUGCUCUGUAGAACAAAAAAGAAACUCAAGAUUUUAAGGAAUAAAAAGUACAAAUGAAGAGAAGGCAUGAUUACAAAAGUUGUUGAUCAGUAAUUCUCAUUGGUAGACAGAAAUACCAGUGGCUAAUGAUCGGCUAUACAUUGUUGAAUUAUAGGAUGUAUGGUAUUUAAAAUAUAUUUAUUUAAAACUAAAUUUUUUAAAGAUUUUUGAUGGGUUUAGGGGUACAGGUGCAGUUGUGUUACAUGGAUAUAUUGUGUAGAGGUGAAAUCUGAGCUUUUAAUGUACAACUACCCAAAUAAGAUACAUUGAACCCGAUAGGCAGCAUUUCACUUUCACCCUCAUUCUAUCCUCCCACCGUUUGGAGCCUCCAAUGUCUAUCAUUCAACUCAGUAAGUCCAUGUCCAUGGUUUAGCGCCCACGUAUAAGUGGGAAUGUGCAGUUCUUGAUUUUCUGUUUCUGAGUCAUUUCACUAAGGAUAAUGCCCUCCAGCUCCAUACACAUUGCUGCAAAAGUCAUAAUUUCAUUCACUUUUAUGGCUGAAUAGUAUUCCAUGGUAUAUAUCUACCAGAUUGUUUUAUUCAAUGAUGUGUUGAUGGACACUUAGGUUGAUUUCACAACUUUGCUAUUCUGA